CAGUAGCCACGGUAAUACGUAGGGUGCAAGCGUUAAUCGGAAUUACUGGGCGUAAAGCGUGCGUAGGUGGUGGUUUAAGUCCGUUGUGAAAGCCCUGGGCUCAACCUGGGAAUUGCAGUGGAUACUGGGUCACUAGAGUGUGGUAGAGGAUAGUGGAAUUUCCGGUGUAGCGGUGAAAUGCGCAGAUAUCAGGAGGAACACCGGUGGCGAAGGCGGCUUACUGGCUCAUACUGGACGCUGAGGUGCGAAAGCGUGGGGAGCAAACAGGAUUAGAUACCCCGGUAGUCCCUGUCUCUUAUAC
This 301-nucleotide ribosomal RNA is filed under the name uncultured bacterium. RNAcentral describes it as "partial 16S ribosomal RNA". It matches the Rfam family "Bacterial small subunit ribosomal RNA", at positions 509 to 807 of the family's 1533-position model. The record is from RNAcentral.